This 658-nucleotide ribosomal RNA is filed under the name uncultured bacterium. RNAcentral's name for it is "bacterial SSU rRNA". It matches the Rfam family "Bacterial small subunit ribosomal RNA", at positions 401 to 1073 of the family's 1533-position model. The record is from RNAcentral.
GUGAGGAUGAAGGCCUUCGGGUUGUAAACCUCUUUCAGUAGGGAAGAAGCGAAAGUGACGGUACCUAAAGAAGAAGCACCGGCUACUAUGUGCCAGCAGCCGCGGUAAUACAUAGGGUGCAAGCGUUGUCCGGAAUUAUUGGGCGUAAAGAGCUCGUAGGUCGUUUGUCACGUCGAUUGUGAAAAUCUGAGGCUCAAUCCUCAGACCUGCAGUCGAUACGGACAAACUAGAGUGUGGUAGGGGAGACUGGAAUUCCUGGUGUAGCGGUGGAAUGCGCAGAUAUCAGGAGGAACACCAAUGGCGAAGGCAGGUCUCUGGGCCAUAACUGACACUGAGGAGCGAAAGCGCGGGGAGCGAACAGGAUUAGAUACCCUGGUAGUCCGCGCCGUAAACGGUGGGCACUAGUUGUGGGAACCUUCCACGGUUUCCGCGACGCAGCAAACGCAUUAAGUGCCCCGGCUGGGGAGUACGAUCGCAAGAUUAAAACUCAAAGGAAUUGACGGGGCCCCGCACAAGCAGCGGAGCAUGCGGCUUAAUUCGACGCAACGCGAAGAAGCUUAACAAGGCUUGACAUAUAGCGAAAAGUGGCAGAGAUGUCAUGUCCGCAAGGGCGCUAUACAGGUGGUGCAUGGUUGUCGUCAGCUCGUGUUCGUGAGGA